UACGUAGGGUGCGAGCGUUAAUCGGAAUUACUGGGCGUAAAGCGUGCGCAGGCGGUUCGUUAAGUCAGAUGUGAAAGCCCCGGGCUCAACCUGGGAACUGCAUUUGAAACUGGCGGGCUUGAGUGCGGCAGAGGGGGGUGGAAUUCCGCGUGUAGCAGUGAAAUGCGUAGAUAUGCGGAGGAACACCGAUGGCGAAGGCAAUCCCCUGGGCCUGCACUGACGCUCAUGCACGAAAGCGUGGGGAGCAAACAGG
Molecule: ribosomal RNA, 253 nt
Filed under: uncultured bacterium
Lineage: Bacteria
Description: partial 16S ribosomal RNA
Rfam family: Bacterial small subunit ribosomal RNA
Source: RNAcentral